UGGCUCAGAUUGAACGCUGGCGGCAUGCUUUACACAUGCAAGUCGAACGGCAGCACGAAAGAGCUUGCUCUUUUGGUGGCGAGUGGCGAACGGGUGAGUAAUACAUUGGAACGUACCGAGUAAUGGGGGAUAACUGUCCGAAAGGAUGGCUAAUACCGCAUACGCUCUGAGGAGGAAAGCGGGGGACCUUCGGGCCUCGCGUUAUUCGAGCGGCCAAUGUCUGAUUAGCUAGUUGGUGGGGUAAAGGCCUACCAAGGCGACGAUCAGUAGUGGGUCUGAGAGGAUGAUCCGCCACACUGGGACUGAGACACGGCCCAGACUCCUACGGGAGGCAGCAGUGGGGAAUUUUGGACAAUGGGCGAAAGCCUGAUCCAGCCAUGCCGCGUGUCUGAAGAAGGCCUUCGGGUUGUAAAGGACUUUUGUCAGGGAAGAAAGGGUUUGGGUUAAUACCCUGAGCUUA
Molecule: ribosomal RNA, 460 nt
Filed under: uncultured Neisseria sp.
Lineage: Bacteria; Pseudomonadati; Pseudomonadota; Betaproteobacteria; Neisseriales; Neisseriaceae
Description: bacterial SSU rRNA
Rfam family: Bacterial small subunit ribosomal RNA
Source: RNAcentral